UGGGGAAUCUUCCGCAAUGGACGAAAGUCUGACGGAGCAACGCCGCGUGGGUGACGAAGGUUUUCGGAUCGUAAAACCCUGUCAAGAAGGAAGAAAAAAGACGGUACUUCUGAAGGAAGCCCCGGCUAACUACGUGCCAGCAGCCGCGGUAAUACGUAGGGGGCAAGCGUUGUCCGGAAUUACUGGGCGUAAAGGGUGCGUAGGCGGCAUGAUAAGUCUGAAGUAAAAGCCAAUGGCUCAACCAUUGUAAGCUUUGGAAACUGUCAAGCUAGAGUACAGGAGAGGUUAGUGGAAUUCCAUGUGUAGCGGUAAAAUGCGUAGAUAUAUGGAGGAACACCAGUGGCGAAGGCGGCUAACUGGCCUGUAACUGACGCUGAAGCACGAAAGCGUGGGGAGCAAAUA
RNAcentral lists this ribosomal RNA (402 nucleotides) under uncultured bacterium. RNAcentral's name for it is "bacterial SSU rRNA". It matches the Rfam family "Bacterial small subunit ribosomal RNA", at positions 355 to 774 of the family's 1533-position model. The record is from RNAcentral.